GCCUCUUGCGGUGAGGAUUCGUGGAUGACGGCGGAUUCCGGUGGUGGCAGUGGCGGUUCCAGUGAGCGGCGGCGGCUACAUGCUUCAAUUCCUCCGCUGCUUUCCUCUUCAAUCCCUAGCCGCUUGUUUUUUCUUUUCGCCAAGAGCCCUCCUAUUUCCCUUAGCUUCCCCUCUGUUUUUCUUGCCUUUCCGUUGGUUUUUCUGGUUUUUUCUCCUCUGCUCUUCUCAGCCGUCGCCUGGUUCCUUCCUGUUUCUUCCUUCUUCCCUUUUCCUUUGAAACCUUCCCUCUUUGAUUUUUGUUUUUGCUUCCCAGCCACCCC
This 320-nucleotide long non-coding RNA is filed under the name Coffea arabica (coffee). RNAcentral describes it as "long non-coding RNA (CARA_LNC003766)". The record is from RNAcentral. Lineage: Eukaryota; Viridiplantae; Streptophyta; Magnoliopsida; Gentianales; Rubiaceae.